Trichechus manatus latirostris (Florida manatee) is the source of this 136-nucleotide small nucleolar RNA. RefSeq annotates it as small nucleolar RNA SNORA75. NCBI's taxonomy places the organism in Eukaryota, Metazoa, Chordata, Mammalia, Sirenia, Trichechidae. The record is from RefSeq and is a predicted model, not a curated record. The transcript has a single exon.
AUCUUCUCAAUGAGCUCCUUUCUGUCGAUCGGUGGCAGUCUGGAUUCGCACGAGAAGAAGAGCCAGUUCACAGAGCUCGCAUUCUUAGCUUACCUUCUGUCUUCACAGAAGUAGGCUUCUGUUCUGUGAGACAUUU